Molecule: unclassified non-coding RNA, 254 nt
Filed under: plant metagenome
Description: partial contains small subunit ribosomal RNA, internal transcribed spacer 1, and 5.8S ribosomal RNA
Source: RNAcentral
UUUCCGUAGGUGAACCUGCGGAAGGAUCAUUAACGCAUCUCUGACGGCGGAGGCGCGCCCUGCUCCGGACCGAAAGGCCGUGCUGCGGGCGCUCCCGAGCCGCUCAACCAUCGCAAACCCACCGUGCACUCUUGUCGGCGGGGGGCCUAGCGCCCCGAGCCGGAUCGCAAACACCUCUUUUAAAACAGAAUGAUCAGCGGACCUGCGUGCCGCCUAAACUUAAACAACUUUCAACAACGGAUCUCUUGGCUCUC